Molecule: ribosomal RNA, 252 nt
Filed under: uncultured bacterium
Lineage: Bacteria
Description: partial 16S ribosomal RNA
Rfam family: Bacterial small subunit ribosomal RNA
Source: RNAcentral
UACGUAGGGGGCUAGCGUUAUCCGGAAUUACUGGGCGUAAAGGGUGCGUAGGUGGUUUCUUAAGUCAGAGGUGAAAGGCUACGGCUCAACCGUAGUAAGCCUUUGAAACUGGGAAACUUGAGUGCAGGAGAGGAGAGUGGAAUUCCUAGUGUAGCGGUGAAAUGCGUAGAUAUUAGGAGGAACACCAGUUGCGAAGGCGGCUCUCUGGACUGUAAAUGACGCUGAGGCUCGAAAGCGUGGGGAGCAAACAGG